GGUGAAAAGCACCCCGUAAGGGGAGUGAAAUAGAACAUGAAACCCUGAGCUUACAAGUAGUCAGAGCCCGUUAAUGGGUGAAGGCGUGCCUUUUGUAGAAUGAACCGGCGAGUUACGAUUUGAUGCAAGGUUAAGCAGUAAAUGUGGAGCCGUAGCGAAAGCUAGUCUGAAUAGUGCGUUUAGUAUUUGGUCGUAGACCCGAAACCAGCUGAUCUACCCUUGGUCAGGUUGAAGUUCAGGUAACACAGAAUGGAGGACCGAACCGACUUACGU
This 273-nucleotide ribosomal RNA is filed under the name Staphylococcus aureus. Its description in RNAcentral is "partial 23S ribosomal RNA". It matches the Rfam family "Bacterial large subunit ribosomal RNA", at positions 513 to 789 of the family's 2925-position model. Lineage: Bacteria; Bacillati; Bacillota; Bacilli; Caryophanales; Staphylococcaceae. The record is from RNAcentral.